AUUGAACGCUGGCGGCAGGCCUAACACAUGCAAGUCGAACGGUAACAGGAAGAAGCUUGCUUCUUUGCUGACGAGUGGCGGACGGGUGAGUAAUGUCUGGGAAACUGCCUGAUGGAGGGGGAUAACUACUGGAAACGGUAGCUAAUACCGCAUAACGUCGCAAGACCAAAGAGGGGGACCUUCGGGCCUCUUGCCACCGGAUGUGCCCAGAUGGGAUUAGCUAGUAGGUGGGGUAACGGCUCACCUAGGCGACGAUCCCUAGCUGGUCUGAGAGGAUGACCAGCCACACUGGAACUGAGACACGGUCCAGACUCCUACGGGAGGCAGCAGUGGGGAAUAUUGCACAAUGGGCGCAAGCCUGAUGCAGCCAUGCCGCGUGUAUGAAGAAGGCCUUCGGGUUGGAAAGUACUUUCAGCGGGGAGGAAGGGAGUAAAGUUAAUACCUUUGCUCAUUGACGUUACCCGCAGAAGAAGCACCGGCUAACUCCGUG
This 490-nucleotide ribosomal RNA is filed under the name uncultured bacterium. RNAcentral describes it as "partial 16S ribosomal RNA". It matches the Rfam family "Bacterial small subunit ribosomal RNA", at positions 30 to 507 of the family's 1533-position model. The record is from RNAcentral.